This 318-nucleotide ribosomal RNA is filed under the name uncultured Flavobacteriaceae bacterium. RNAcentral describes it as "bacterial LSU rRNA". It matches the Rfam family "Bacterial large subunit ribosomal RNA", at positions 1 to 331 of the family's 2925-position model. The record is from RNAcentral. Lineage: Bacteria; Pseudomonadati; Bacteroidota; Flavobacteriia; Flavobacteriales; Flavobacteriaceae.
GUAGAAGUAUGUAAGGGUGUAUGGCGGAUGCCUAGGCUCUCAGAGGCGAAGAAGGACGUGAGACACUGCGAAAAGCUACGACGAGGUGUGCACUACCCAGUGACUCGUAGAUAUCCGAAUGGGGCAACCCACUUGGUUGAAGACCAAGUAUCCAUUUAUGGAGGUAAACGCAGGGAACUGAAACAUCUAAGUACCUGUAGGAGAAGAAAACAAAAGUGAUUUCCCUAGUAGUGGCGAACGAACGGGAAUUAGCCCAAACCAACAAGGUUUCGGCCUAGUUGGGGUUGUAGGACCACGAUAUAGAAUAUGAAGCUAGAA